RNAcentral lists this ribosomal RNA (279 nucleotides) under uncultured bacterium. Its description in RNAcentral is "partial 16S ribosomal RNA". It matches the Rfam family "Bacterial small subunit ribosomal RNA", at positions 506 to 784 of the family's 1533-position model. The record is from RNAcentral.
UGCCAGCCGCCGCGGUAAGACAGAGGGUGCAAACGUUGUUCGGAAUCACUGGGCAUAAAGGGCACGUAGGCGGCUCGCCAAGUCGUGCGUGAAAUCCCCCGGCUCAACCGGGGAACUGCGCUCGAUACUGGCGGGCUAGAGGCUAGUUGGGGUGAGUGGAACUCCAGGUGGAGCGGUGAAAUGCGUAGAUAUCUGGAGGAACACCGGUGGCGAAAGCGACUCACUGGACUGGUCCUGACGCUGAGGUGCGAAAGCUAGGGUAGCAAACGGGAUUAGAUA